AGAGUUUGAUCCUGGCUCAGAACGAACGCUGGCGGCGUGCCUAACACAUGCAAGUCGAGCGAGAAAGUCCCCGCAAGGGGAUGAGUAAAGCGGCGAACGGGUGAGUAACACGUGGGCAACCUGCCCUUCAGUUAGGAAUAACCCCGCGAAAGCGGGGCUAAUACCGGAUGACGUCCUUUGGGGGCAUCCUUGAAGGACCAAAGGGGGCGAGCGUAAGCGGCUCCCGCUGAAGGAUGGGCCUGCGGCUGAUUAGCUAGUUGGUGGGGUAGCGGCCUACCAAGGCGACGAUCAGUAGCCGACCUGAGAGGGUGACCGGCCACACUGGGACUGAGACCCGGCCCAGACUCCUACGGGAGGCAGCAGUGGGGAAUAUUGCGCAAUGGGCGAAAGCCUGACGCAGCGACGCCGCGUGGGUGAUGAAGGCCUUCGGGUCGUAAAACCCUGUCGGGUGGAACGAAUCGCCGCCUUGCUAAUACCGAGGCGGCUUGACGGUACCACCGAAGGAAGCCCCGGCUAACUACGUGCCAGCAGCCGCGGUAAUACGUAGGGGGCGAGCGUUGUUCGGAUUUACUGGGCGUAAAGAGCGCGUAGGCGGUUCGAUCAGUCGGAGGUGAAAUCCCUCGGCUUAACCGAGGACCCGCGUCCGAUACUGUCGAACUUGAGUGCAGGAGAGGAGAGCGGAAUUCCCAGUGUAGCAGUGAAAUGCGUAGAGAUGCGGAGGAACACCGAUGGCGAAGGCAGCCCCCUGGGCCAAUACUGACGCUCAGGCACGAAAGCGUGGGGAGCAAACAGGAUUAGAUACCCUGGGUAGUCCACGCCCUAAACGAUGCUCACUACGUGUUGGGGAAGCGAUUCCUUGGUACCGUAGCUACGCGUGAGUGAGCCGCCUGGGGGAGUACGGCCGCAAGGUUAAACUCAAGGAAUUG
Molecule: ribosomal RNA, 926 nt
Filed under: uncultured bacterium
Lineage: Bacteria
Description: bacterial SSU rRNA
Rfam family: Bacterial small subunit ribosomal RNA
Source: RNAcentral